GAAGGGCUACAGCUCAGUGGUAGAACAUCUGUCUGGCAUGCAGAAUGUCCUAGCUUCAAUUCCUUGCACCUUCA
Non-coding RNA from Podarcis lilfordi (Lilford's wall lizard), 74 nucleotides. The record is from the annotation of a GenBank genome assembly. NCBI's taxonomy places the organism in Eukaryota, Metazoa, Chordata, Lepidosauria, Squamata, Lacertidae.